This 1012-nucleotide ribosomal RNA is filed under the name Glyphoglossus yunnanensis (Yunnan squat frog). Its description in RNAcentral is "partial large subunit ribosomal RNA". It matches the Rfam family "Bacterial large subunit ribosomal RNA", at positions 858 to 2564 of the family's 2925-position model. Lineage: Eukaryota; Metazoa; Chordata; Amphibia; Anura; Microhylidae. The record is from RNAcentral.
CAGGAAAAGGAUUUAAGUCCUACCUUAAGUUUCUUUGUAACUCUAAUUACUUCACAAAACUUAAGAGCUAUUCAAAUAAGGUACAGCCUAUUUGAAACAGGAUACAACCUACAACAUUGGGUAAUGAAUUCUGCUUCAUAAUUAAGUGGGCCUAAGAGCAGCCACCUUUAAAAAAGCGUUAAAGCUUUAUUAUACUAGCACAAUAAUUACAUUAAUUCCCCAAAACCCUUACCCCCGUACUGAGUGACUUCAUAAUAUUAUGAAAAACCAUAUGCUAGAACUAGUAACAAGAAGAAGACCUUCUCCAAAAUGUACAUAUAGGCCAAAAUGAACAACUCAUUGGCAUUUACCGCUUAUGAACUAACAGUAGUAACUCAACAAGAAAACUCUACUAUCCAUAACGUUAACCUUACACUAGCACAUUCCCGGAAAGAUUAAAAGGAAGGGAAGGAACUCGGCAAAUAAUAACCUCGCCUGUUUACCAAAAACAUCGCCUCCUGAAUAAUUAUAGGAGGUCCAGCCUGCCCAGUGACAAAGUUAAACGGCCGCGGUACCCUAACCGUGCAAAGGUAGCGCAAUCACUUGUUCUUUAAAUGAGGACUAGUAUGAAUGGCAUCACGAGGGUUAUACUGUCUCCCCCACCUAAUCAGUGAAACUGAUCUUCCCGUGAAGAAGCGGGAAUAGAAUUAUAAGACGAGAAGACCCCAUGGAGCUUUAAACUCAACAUCAACUGCCCUCUAAAUAACUUAUCAACCAUGCAGAUCUGACAGUUAGUUUUCGGUUGGGGUGACCGCGGAGUAAAACAAAACCUCCACGAUGAAAGGAAUUAACCUCCUAAUCUAAGAGCUACAGCUCUAAGAAUCAACAAAUUGACAAAACUUGAUCCAAAUAUUUUGAUCAACGAACCAAGUUACCCUGGGGAUAACAGCGCAAUCCAUUUCAAGAGCUCAUAUCGACAAAUGGGUUUACGACCUCGAUGUUGGAUCAGGGUAUCCCAGUGGCGCAGCCGCUA